RNAcentral lists this ribosomal RNA (234 nucleotides) under uncultured Anoxybacillus sp. RNAcentral describes it as "partial 16S ribosomal RNA". It matches the Rfam family "Bacterial small subunit ribosomal RNA", at positions 1151 to 1382 of the family's 1533-position model. Lineage: Bacteria; Bacillati; Bacillota; Bacilli; Caryophanales; Anoxybacillaceae. The record is from RNAcentral.
GCCGGCUAAAGUACGGAGGAAGGUGGGGAGUGACGUCAAAUCAUCAUGCCCCUUAUGACCUGGGCUACACACGUGCUACAAUGGGCGGUACAAAGGGUCGCGAACCCGCGAGGGGGGAGCCAAUCCCAAAAAGCCGCUCUCAGUUCGGAUUGCAGGCUGCAACUCGCCUGCAUGAAGCCGGAAUCGCUAGUAAUCGCGGAUCAGCAUGCCGCGGUGAAUACGUUCCCGGGCCUU